UGGGCUGAGGCUCAGCAGUAGAGCGCUCACCUAGCAAGUGCAAGGCCCUGGGUUCAAUCCUCAGCACCACAU
This 72-nucleotide transfer RNA is filed under the name Ictidomys tridecemlineatus (thirteen-lined ground squirrel). RNAcentral's name for it is "Spermophilus tridecemlineatus (thirteen-lined ground squirrel) tRNA". It matches the Rfam family "tRNA". From Rfam's summary of the family: Transfer RNA (tRNA) molecules are approximately 80 nucleotides in length. Their secondary structure includes four short double-helical elements and three loops (D, anti-codon, and T loops). Further hydrogen bonds mediate the characteristic L-shaped molecular structure. tRNAs have two regions of fundamental functional importance: the anti-codon, which is responsible for specific mRNA codon recognition, and the 3' end, to which the tRNAs corresponding amino acid is attached (by aminoacyl-tRNA synthetases). tRNAs cope with the degeneracy of the genetic code in two manners: having more than one tRNA (with a specific anti-codon) for a particular amino acid; and 'wobble' base-pairing, i.e. permitting non-standard base-pairing at the 3rd anti-codon position. Lineage: Eukaryota; Metazoa; Chordata; Mammalia; Rodentia; Sciuridae. The record is from Rfam by way of RNAcentral.